This is a long non-coding RNA of Chinchilla lanigera (long-tailed chinchilla), 999 nucleotides long. RefSeq lists it as uncharacterized. NCBI's taxonomy places the organism in Eukaryota, Metazoa, Chordata, Mammalia, Rodentia, Chinchillidae. The record is from RefSeq and is a predicted model, not a curated record. The transcript has 3 exons.
CUGCUGUUAUUCUGAAAUAUAUGGAAUAGUUCUGUAGAUUUACUUCUUUACCUUAACUCUGUCUACCUUAAACCAGUCUUUCUCAGCCUGGAUUCCUCAAAUGAUGACAAAACCGCGUUGUUCGUGUGAAGACUUUCUAAAUUUUUCUAUAGAUGUUUCUCACUGCGGCCAUGCAAGUGCACUGGCAUGAGCUCACCUCCUCAGAGAAGGGGGUUUCGGGAGCGGACUGAAGACUGGGUGCCUGACUGCAGGGCUUCCAGCUGCGGCGAAGGCGUGAUUCAUGCCCGAUGGUCUGCUCAGAGGGAGAGGAGCAUUUAUUCAAUCCGGCCGUGUGCAUCUGGAUGCCUGUUGUGAGGAGCGAAGUGUUAGUAACCAGACCGGGAUGGAUUUAGUCGCCAGCGUUACACACGCAGAACAUCUGUUGUGCACCAAGAACGCGAUGGGCACUGUGGGUACCAAGUGAGAACACAGCAUCUGCUGCCCAGCCGGUCUCACGGCGUAGGAGAGAGAGUAAAACUGCUCAUAGCUAUCAGCAAAAGAGCACUAAUUUCAUGCUGCAAAAGUGACACAAGCUGAGCGCUGAAGGCGCGAGAGGUGGUGUCCGUGGUGAAGGAAGCUCAGGGAGGAGAAUGAGAGAAGGCUUCCUGGAGGAGGCGGUAUUUGGACUGGUCCUCAACAAACACACAGAGCUGUGCUGACAGAGAAAAAGCAGACAAGCUUUCCAGGUUUUCUGAGAAAGCAGCAAGUGUCACUAAAGCAGAGAGUAUGAGGAGAGAAGGUGGCUGGGUAGAUUCAACACAGCAUCUUCCGUGAAGAUUUUGGUGACCAGUUGAGACCUGGGACAAAGUGCUGUAACAUUUUGCCAUCAAAUGUCACUCUUGUACAAAGAGUGACACCGCUGCAAGAGAAUGCUGAAUAUUAAAAAGCAGAAUUUUCAACUUUUCCGUUCAGGUUUCAGUGGAGGUCAACAGUAGACGAGAAACUCUGACACACAUAAUA